CCUACGGGAGGCAGCAGUAGGGAAUCUUUCACAAUGGGCGAAAGCCUGAUGGAGCAACGCCGCGUGCAGGAUGAAGGCCUUCGGGUUGUAAACUGCUUUUAUAAGCGAGCAAUAUGAUGGUAACUUAUGAAUAAGGAUCGGCUAACUACGUGCCAGCAGCCGCGGUCAUACGUAGGAUCCGAGCAUUAUCCGGAGUGACUGGGUGUAAAGAGUUGCGUAGGUGGCAUAAUAAGUAGCUAGGGAAAUCUGGUGGCUCAACCAUUCAGACUAUUAGCUAAACUGUUAAGCUCGAGACCGUUAGGGGUAACUGGAAUUUCUAGUGUAGGAGUGAAAUCCGUAGAUAUUAGAAGGAACACCAAUAGCGUAGGCAGGUUGCUGGGACGGUUCUGACACUAAGGCACGAAAGCGUAGGGAGCAAACGGGAUUAGAUACCCUUGUAGUC
Molecule: ribosomal RNA, 442 nt
Filed under: uncultured bacterium
Lineage: Bacteria
Description: partial 16S ribosomal RNA
Rfam family: Bacterial small subunit ribosomal RNA
Source: RNAcentral